Molecule: long non-coding RNA, 449 nt
Organism: Nerophis ophidion (straightnose pipefish)
Lineage: Eukaryota; Metazoa; Chordata; Actinopteri; Syngnathiformes; Syngnathidae
Exons: 3
Source: RefSeq, a predicted model, not a curated record
UUUAUUUAUUACCGUUUGUCUACUUCAAACCGGUAGAGGGCAGCAUUCUAUUGUCUCAAUUAGGUUGUCAUCCUCAACUAUGAACGAAGAAGAUCAAAUUUGACUAAAAAACAACAACAUUCUACACAGUUUUGGGUAGAAUAUUGAUACUUUACCCCAAAUGACCAAUAAAUCCAACCUAAGAAUCACACUGCCCUCAACACAGCACUCGCUGUUGAAGACCCCAUGGGAAAAAUAGCCAGUCUGAAGCUUCCUAUUCUUGGACCAGGUUAUCUACAUUGUGUCUUCCUCGGUCUGUACUUCAUGAGACCCAACAACAUGGUUCUCAUCAGCUUUUCCAUGGGAUGCUACAAAACAAGGAAAUACGACAAAAAGGGGACAUGAAACAGGCGAUGGUGUUGAAGAUUUUCAGAAAAUAUGAAGGUUUAUCUUCACAACAUUAUUCCAAG